GAUUAUCUCUCUAAACAUCACCAACAAGGAAAGACAGGUGGAAGACUCAGCCCUGGAAAUUUUGAAUAAUUACACACUGCUGCCCCAGGAAGAAUCUUGGUGGAUUGAGAGACAAUGGACAAAGAGAUCAAGAUACUCUUCUGACUGGACCUAGCCUUCAGGAAGGGACCUCAUCAGGACCAGGGAGAUUAUUUGCCUUUGUACCCUCCAAAUUCCCUGAAUAGCCUCUUAACAGCUAAAUCCCUAGACUGUCUCUGGAGAGAUAAAGGAAAUCUACUUACCCCUAAACUACCAGGCAAGUAAGAACCACUUAUUUUACAUUUACAAUAACUGUGAUGUUAAAACAAAAAAAAUUAAUAAAACUUAAAGGAUAAUAGAUGUAUCCUGUUUU
RNAcentral lists this long non-coding RNA (391 nucleotides) under Phascolarctos cinereus (koala). RNAcentral describes it as "lncRNA (ENSPCIG00000034714.1)". The record is from RNAcentral. Lineage: Eukaryota; Metazoa; Chordata; Mammalia; Diprotodontia; Phascolarctidae.